CGGAGAGUCAGUAGGAUUGGAGGUGUGGGCAGGCAACGAAUCUUCACCAGUAGUAGCCAUUGUCGAGGUGUGAUCCAGAGUUUAUUGACACAAGUAUGGAGAUGUGAGACUUGACAAAUAAACUGCGGCGGUUAGGUACUCGCAAUGCGAAUGACAAUAGUCUUAGGUCCGAUAACGAAUCCGCGGUCAACGGGACUCUUUUAUUCUUUACGCGUCGGCAACGCCCAGGUGGUACUCUCAGUUAGCACGCGAAGUAAGCACUCUAUCGAAAUGAUACC
Molecule: unclassified non-coding RNA, 278 nt
Filed under: Bombus terrestris (buff-tailed bumblebee)
Lineage: Eukaryota; Metazoa; Arthropoda; Insecta; Hymenoptera; Apidae
Description: misc RNA ENSBTSG00005033263.1
Source: RNAcentral